GAAUCCUCCAAGCAUGAAGAGAGCAAGGAUUUUGUUAUCAGGAAAUGGGGAGCUCUGGGUGGUGUGUUUCCAGAAGCUUCAGUCAGUAACAGGGCAGAUGGUGGAAUGUGACCAGGCUUGGCCUUGGUCAGACCUGGGCUUGAGUCCUGACUGCCCCACACGCUAGCCCUGUGUGGGUGGCCCAGAGGACUUGACUUCUCAGUGCCUUACCUUUCUUUCUUUUCCUUCUUUUCGGUGCUGGGGAUUGAACCCAGGGCCUUGUGCUUGUGAGACAAGCACUCUACCCACUGAGCUAUAGCCCCAGCCCCUCAAUGCUUUAUCUUUCUUGUCUAUUAAAUGGGGAUGGCACCUGCCUCGGGAUCAUUCUGUUGAUUAAAUGACGUGAGGUUCUUAGCACAGCACCUGGCAUGUCAUUAGGGGGUGAAGGCCAUUAUUAGUUGGCUGUGACCUUGGCAGAAAGGUCACGUGUGGCAUAGCCCUGCAACUUCCUGGUGCAGCUGGGGCCUGUGGACCCUAGGACUUCACUGCCUGUUCCUCCAUGGACCAAAGGGAGCCGCAGAGAACCUGCCUAGCCUGAGGGAGGCUCUGAGUUCAGUCUCCACACCAAAGGGAGGACCAGUGGAGAGGGAGUACAAAGACAGUUCACAGAGAGGCGGAGACACCUGUCUAGGGCAGCCCAGCCACAGAGGAGCUGGGUCUUGGCGCAGUGGCAGUGGCAGGCGUGGAGGCGGAAGACAGGGCCUGGAUGUGGGGCUGCAGGUGAAGGAUCAACCUGGUCCCUGGCCUUUGCAGCUCGGAGGUGGUGGGCAGAGUCCUCGGAGGGGGAGCAGUGUGGGAGCAGGUUUGGACAGAGAGGCACGCAGGUGGGUGGAUUCCUGGGUUACACCGGAGUCAAGGAGCCUGUGGCACAUUGGGUAGAGGUGCCUAGGGCAUGACUUCUGGGGAGAAGCAGUGAAGAGCUGGCACCGGAGCCCUGCGCUUCAGCCCCAGGUUAGCACUGGUGCCUUGACACAGAUCCUAGCGGAGCCUCCAGUGGUCUUGGCCCACCUUCUUUCCACUGUCUGUCCGUCUGUGUCUCCCCCUCCCUCCCUCUCUCCUGCCUUCCUCACACACUGGAUGUGAUUCCCUGCCCGUCCUUGACCAUCUUGGCUGUAAAAUGAGGCAGGGGCACAUGCUGCCAGCUGUGGGCUUCAGCCCUGCCCUUCUAGAAUCCUGGGUAACCUCUAGGGUCUAAAAGCCAGGAGCCCUGUGGACACUGGAGGUGAGAGAGGCAGCGCCUGGUAGCGGUGGCCUUGGCAGCAGAGAGACCUUGCUGCACGCAUGGCUGACAGCUUGAGGAACAAGUGAGCGGGGGCCAAAUGGGACAUCUAGGUGGCUGCGCGGUGGUAGAGCUGCCUUAAAUGCUUUCUGGGAUCAAAGGCAUAGAAUGGGGGAGCGUGGAUGGACAGGAUGGAUAGAUGCCCUCUGGCACAGCCUUCAGUGCAGGAAAACCAUGCUGUGCUGCCUGGCUCUUCCUCACAGUGGCUGCCCCCCUGCCCUGGCCUCCUGUGUGGGGGAAGGGCUUCAGGAAGAGGCUGAGAGGAAGGCAGGGGGCAGCAUUUCCUGAGGGCUUCCGGAAGCAGGGGCGCAUGGGAAGCAGCAACUCAUCCUGGCUCCUGCAGCUCCCCGUUCCUACCAAGCCUGCUGUGAAAACACUGGUUUUUCAUUAUUUCUGGCCCCCCCUCACCCUAUCCUGCCACUUGAUCAAAAUCAAGGUUGGGGGGGGGGGCGGCUGGGGUUGUGGCUCCGUGGUAGAGCACUCGCCUAGCGCCUGUGAGGCCCGGGGUUCCAUCCUCAGCACCACCUAAAAAUGAAAACAAAAUAAGGGUAUUGUGUCUCUCUACAACUAAAAAUACUAAAUAAAACCAGGGUUCCUCUCUGUACUCACCCCACCCCCACAGCUUCCCCAGGCAGGUGCUGAGAGGCCUGUGGUCACGGCUGGGUGCCCUUCAGGGUGCAAGCCCUGCCCCUGCCCCUUAACCUGGAGAUUCAGGCACACGGCUGAACCUCUCUGAGUUUCUGCUUCCUCAUCAGGCAAGCGGAGCCAGUCAUUCUCCCACCUGAGCCUUUCCAAGUCCCAGCUCCUGACCCUCUGGAGGCUGCUGGCAGGGGUGUGGUGCUCACUCAUGUCCACACAGGGCUGUGUCACCUGGGGGAGGCGUGCCCCAGCUAACCUCUGCUCUCCUGGCAGGAAGAAGCAGCUCCCAGAGCUCCAAGGUGCGCAAGUCUCACUUUAUGUCUGACAGGAAGAACUGCCUGGCCCACAGCACCUCGUGGGUGGUCGUCACCUGGGAAGCUGUGUGACAACCUUUCCGGUCACCCAGUCCUCUCCCUGAGAGGUGACCCAGCUGUGUUAGGAAGGCUUAGGAACCGCUUCCACUCCACCUGCCAAGGGGCCAGGUGGACACUGAUGGGGAGAAGGGAGGGCUCGAGUGGCCUGUAACCCCAGGUCCCCCCUCAACCACAGCCAAGCAUAAUCGGGGCUUGCUGCGUACACGGACCCCACGCCAGGUCCUCUGGGCCCCUUUGCUCUCCUAUAGAGCAACAGGAGCCCAACCCUCAGGGCCCAGAAGACCACAUUUUCACUAAACUUCAAUCCUGCGGCCUUGCUGGGAAAACCCCAGCACUAAUAAUACGUACCAUGUUUGGAAGGGAGAUGGGAUGUCCCCAGAAGACCAAGGCUGGAAGCUUGAGACUGCCUGCCAGGGUUGGCCUUCGCAUGGUGGGGCAGUGCCUCAGUGCUGUGGAGCUGGUGCUCGUGGCAGGGAAAUAUCUUAGUGGUGAAGAAAGUUCUUUAUGAGCUCAGAAAGAGCUAGGCUGAGUUGUCACUGCACCUGUGACAGCUGUGUGUCUUCCUGCAGGCUAUUUAGCCUCUCUGAGCCACACCUUCGUUAGCAAAUGGAUGUAAUAUGAGACUAGUUCAAAGAACUAGGAGGAAUCAACAGGUAAUUCACCGUGAGGAGAAGCAGCCCAGCUCAGCUCGGGAGGACGGCUGUUGCAGGGAGGGUUUAGCUGUGUGUCUUGUGAGCAUCUCACAGUCCAGUGGGUACAGAUUCCUGCGCACCAUAUGUACUGGACCAUGUGAGCGGCCCGCGCAGGCUUCGUGGUGGAAGGGUUCAGGGGAGAGGCCUUUCUGAAGCCCUGUACACUGUGCCCAAGCCUCCAUCAUAUCCCUGGUCUUGUCUUCCUGUGAUGGUUGGUUGUGAUUGUCACACACAUCUCCCACACUGGCCACCAGUCCCUCCAGGACAGACGGUGGGACUUCUCAUGCACUCAGCACUGGCUUCCCCUUGGGGCUGCAUUUAAUUCUGAGGGUGGGAUUCUGAGGGAGCUGUCUGGGGAGCCUUGGGGGAGGAGGCCAUGUCUGGCCAGGUCUUGAGCCAGUGUGCAGUUUGGAAGAGCAGCAGUGGGACAGGCGGAGGCUCAACAGCAGCUGCAGCCAGGUGGAGGGGUUCAGGCUCCUCUUCCAAGAGUCUCUGUGACCCUGAGCGAACACCUCCCCUACCUGGCCUUAGGGUCUCCUCCCAGAACAUGGAAGGGGCUUUGCUAGAUAAGGGAAUAUGCCAGAUCUGGCAUUUUAGUAGCUUCUUUGACUUGACCCCGUCUUGAGACAGUUCCAGAGACAAAGCCCAAGUAUCUCCCAGCUCCGCAGGCUUGCUCCUUCCCAGUGACAGGCAGCACGUGGCCCUCUGUUCUCCAGGGCUUAGUUGGAGGAUUUUUUUUUUUUUCCCUUUAAGAGGGAAGGGGCAAGCCCCAGUACCAGGAGGAUUUUGUAGAAUGUGUACAUGUAGGGGCAGGAUGGUCUGGGGAGAGAGGCUGAGGACAGCCGCCUGUCUUCAGACAUAGCUGGGAUUCCAGGUGGUGGCAGUCCAGACUCGGGACCACCUCUGCUCAGCGAGGCAGAUGCCACUCCUGCCCCUGAGCUGCCCACAACUUCCACUGGUCCUCGCCCUGGCUGGAGAGGCCCUAUAAUGGUCCCAUUGUCCACCACCCUGCCAGGCUGCCCUAGGGUACAGCUCAGAGCCUGGGCAGCGCUCAUUCCCAGGGAGCAGCCUGGUGAAGAAGCAGAGUGGUCAGACCCACAGAAGUCAUGGCCCUUGGGAAUCCUAAACCAAGAAUCCUGGAGUCCGACCCUCAAAGACGCUUAGAAAAAUGCAGCCCUGGAUUAGAAGCCACAGGUGCCGCGGCUCCAGUCUGUCCAGCCCUGACAUGUGGCCUGCGCAUACAGGCCUACCCUCAUCUAUUUCUCAUCAUAAAAGUCAUACUUGGUCCUCCCUGAGGUCCCCGGAUUUCUCUCUAUCCAGUGAUCUGCCUGGGGCCCUGAUAUGGAGUAGGUAAUUUUUUUUUUCUUGUUUAGAACUGGUUUUAAAUCAGACACAUCUUUCUUUCUUUCUUUUUGGUACCAGGGAUUGAACCUUAACCAUUGAGCCACAUUCCCACCCCUUUUUAUUUUUUACUUAGGGACAGGGUCUCACUAAGAUGCUUAGGGCCUAAAUUGCUGAGGCUGACUUUGAACUUGUGAUCCUCUUGUCUCAGCCUCCCAAGCCCUAGGGAUUACAGGCAGGCACUAUCAUGCCUGGCUUGAAAUGCUUUUUUAAAAUGAACAAGUGCUUACUAGUAUAACCAGAGCAGAAGUUUAAAAAUUAACUAGUGGUAAAUAUACUACAAUUCUCCCUAACAUGAGUAGGCAAUUUGGAGAGGCAGAAAGUAGAAUCGUGGCCGUGGGGACUGGGAGAGGACCCGGGAGUUACUGAUUAGUGGGUUACUGAUUAGCUGGGAAAGAAAAGAAAGUUCUGGAGAGGGCUGGUGGUGUCUGCUACACGAUGAUGUGAACGCGCUUGCUCACCCACUGCUCACCACCAUGGAACUGUGUGCAUUGGUGUGGAGAAAAUGGCAAAUUCUAUGUCAUAUAUAUUUUCCCACAAUAAAAAUAAAAAAAAUAGUAAAAAAAAAAGUUAUAUUAGUUAGUUAUGCUAAGUGAAAAAGCCAGACACAAAGACCGCAUUGUGGAUGUUGGAGUCCAUUUAUAUGAACUGCUCAGGACAGGCAGAUUCGCAGGGACAGAAGACAGAUCACUGGGCAUCAGAGGCAGGGAAUUGGGAGUGAGUACUCCUAGGAACAUAGUUUGCAGGGUGACGAGAAUGCUCUAAGAUUUAAUAGUGGUAAUGGUUGCACAAGUCUAUAAAUACAGGAAAAACAACUGAACAGUCUGCUUUAAAAUCAUAAAUGUUGGAGUAGCAAGAGCAACCAUUACAGGAGCCAGAGCUGCCUAUUAAGCUCGAUCAAGACGACAACCUUCCAAAAGCAUCGAGACUUUGUGGCAGAGCCUAUGGGGGAAAGCCAGUGGGGAGCCUGGCUGGGAUUGUGAAGUCCUGGGCAAGAAGCUGGAGGAAAGGGGCUUUGACAAGGCAUAUGUUGUCCUCGGGCAGUUUCUGGUGCUAAAGAAAGAUGAAGACCUCUUCUGAGAAUGGCUGAAGGAUACAUGUGGUGCCAAUGCCAAGCAGUCCAGGGACUGCUUUGGGUGCCUUCGAGAAUGGUGUGACGCCUUCUUGUGAUGUUCUCUGGGGAGCCCUCAAUCCCUAGCCCCAUUAUCAAGUCUCCAGAGUUUGCAGCUGAGUGGGGGCUCCUGGUCCUCUACAAAGGAAAAGAUUGCUGUUGUCUACUCCAGGGUCUUUGGGAGUUCUCUCCCCUCACCAUUUCAAUUUUUUUGGAAGUUUUGCUCUUGCCUGCAACUCCCUUUCUCUUUCCCCUGCCAGUUCCGUGGAAACCAUUAACCAGCUUUUCUGAUUGGAUUCCUGGCCCCUGCCCUUACCCCCACCUUCACCUCUGGUCUGUUUGAUGCCAUUUGUCACCUUUUUUGGCAUAACAGUCACUGUCCUUGUAAAGUUUUUUAGAUCAAUAAAGACAGUGGCCUUCAAAAAAAUAAAAAUAAAAAAUAAUCAAAUAAAAAAAUGUCAAAAAAAAAA
RNAcentral lists this long non-coding RNA (6005 nucleotides) under Marmota monax (woodchuck). Lineage: Eukaryota; Metazoa; Chordata; Mammalia; Rodentia; Sciuridae. The record is from RNAcentral.